Molecule: transfer RNA, 71 nt
Filed under: Candidatus Woesebacteria bacterium
Lineage: Bacteria; Candidatus Woeseibacteriota
Description: tRNA-Ile
Source: RNAcentral
GGGCUCGUCGUUCAACGGCAGGACCGGCCUCUUAUAAAGACCAGACGAUAGUCCGACUCUAUCCGAGCCCA